GCUCACUAGUCGAGUGACCCUGCGCCGAAAAUGUACCGGGGCUAAAACAAUUUACCGAAGCUGUGGAUACCUUUAUAGGUAUGGUCGGAGAGCGUUCUAUGUGUGGUGAAGGUGUACCGUGAGGAGCGCUGGAACGCAUAGAAGUGAGAAUGCCGGUAUGAGUAGCGAAAGAUGGGUGAGAAUCCCAUCCACCGUAAGACUAAGGUUUCCAGGGGAAGGCUCGUCCGCCCUGGGUUAGUCGGGACCUAAGGAGAGACCGAAAGGUGUAUCCGAUGGAC
This 278-nucleotide ribosomal RNA is filed under the name Acinetobacter baumannii. RNAcentral's name for it is "partial 23S ribosomal RNA". It matches the Rfam family "Bacterial large subunit ribosomal RNA", at positions 1140 to 1423 of the family's 2925-position model. The record is from RNAcentral. Lineage: Bacteria; Pseudomonadati; Pseudomonadota; Gammaproteobacteria; Moraxellales; Moraxellaceae.